GCUGAAUGUGGGGAUAAUUUAUCUMSGUGUUGUAGCUARCGCGUUAAGCACUCCGCCUGGGGACUACGGUCGCAAGACUAAAACUCAAAGGAAUUGACGGGGACCCGCACMAGCGGUGGAGCAUGUGGUUUAAUUCGAUGCAACGCGAAAAACCUUACCACUCCUUGACAUGGAGAUUAGAUCCUUCUUAACAGAAGGGCGCAGUUCGGCUGGAUCUCGCACAGGUGCUGCAUGGCUGUCGUCAGCUCGUGUCGUGAGAUGUUGGGUUAAGUCCCGCAACGAGCGUAACCCUCAUCCUUAGUUGCCAGCGGGUAGGCCGGGCACUUUAAGGAAACUGCCGGUGGUAAACCGGAGGAAGGUGGGGAUGAUGUCAAGUCAGCACGGCCCUUAUGGGGUGGGCUACACACGUGCUACAAUGGUGACUACAAUAGGUUGCAAUGUCGCAAGGCUGAGCUAAUCCGUAAAAGUCAUCUCAGUUCGGAUUGUCCUCUGCAACUCGAGGGCAUGAAGUCGGAAUCGCUAGUAAUCGUGGAUCAGCAUGCCACGGUGAAUACGUUCUCGGGUCUUGUACACACUGCCCGUCAACGCCAAUGGGAAUUGGCUUAACUYAAAGSUGGWGCGCUAACCGAAAGGAAGCAGCCAU
RNAcentral lists this ribosomal RNA (643 nucleotides) under Anaplasma phagocytophilum. Its description in RNAcentral is "bacterial SSU rRNA". It matches the Rfam family "Bacterial small subunit ribosomal RNA", at positions 815 to 1456 of the family's 1533-position model. Lineage: Bacteria; Pseudomonadati; Pseudomonadota; Alphaproteobacteria; Rickettsiales; Anaplasmataceae. The record is from RNAcentral.